GACUCUCGGGCAACGGAUAUCUCGGCUCUCGCAUCGAUGAAGAACGUAGCGAAAUGCGAUACUUGGUGUGAAUUGCAGAAUCCGUGAACCAUCGAGUCUUUGAACGCAAGUUGCGCCCGAAGCCGUUAGGCCGAGGGCACGUCUGCCUGGGCGUCA
Molecule: ribosomal RNA, 156 nt
Filed under: Ipomoea nil (Japanese morning glory)
Lineage: Eukaryota; Viridiplantae; Streptophyta; Magnoliopsida; Solanales; Convolvulaceae
Description: 5.8S ribosomal RNA
Rfam family: 5.8S ribosomal RNA
About the family: 5.8S ribosomal RNA (5.8S rRNA) is a component of the large subunit of the eukaryotic ribosome. It is transcribed by RNA polymerase I as part of the 45S precursor that also contains 18S and 28S rRNA.
Source: Rfam by way of RNAcentral